RNAcentral lists this ribosomal RNA (371 nucleotides) under Prymnesium parvum. RNAcentral's name for it is "partial Bacterial large subunit ribosomal RNA". It matches the Rfam family "Bacterial large subunit ribosomal RNA", at positions 1228 to 1701 of the family's 2925-position model. Lineage: Eukaryota; Haptophyta; Prymnesiales; Prymnesiaceae. The record is from RNAcentral.
GUAGCGGAGCGUUCUGUAAGCCUGCGAAGGCGGACCCGCGAGGGCUGCUGGAGGUAUCAGAAGUGAGAAUUCUGACAUGAGUAGCGACAAACAGUGUGAGAAACACUGUCGCCGAAAUUCCAAGGGUUCCUGCGCAAGGCUAAUCCACGCAGGGUGAGUCGGAUCCUAAGGCGAGGCCGAAAGGCGUAGUCGAUGGCAAUACGGUUAAUAUUCCGUAACCUGUGAGUAGUGACGGUGGCCGAAAUCUGUUCUUUCUUAUCGGAUUGAUAAGGGCAGGCUAGGACAUCCAGGAAAUAGCUCUCACAUAUAGUCCGUACCCGAAACCGACACAGGUGGAAUGGUAGAGUAUACCAAGGCGCUUGGGAUAACUG